GCCGGGGUUUCUUUACUGGGUACCGUCAUUAUCUUCCCCAGCGAAAGAGCUUUACGACCCUAAGGCCUUCAUCACUCACGCGGCAUGGCUAGAUCAGGGUUGCCCCCAUUGUCUAAGAUUCCCC
RNAcentral lists this ribosomal RNA (124 nucleotides) under uncultured bacterium. Its description in RNAcentral is "partial 16S ribosomal RNA". The record is from RNAcentral.